AUUGAACGCUGGCGGCAUGCCUUACACAUGCAAGUCGAACGGCAGCAUGGAGAGCUUGCUCUCUGAUGGCGAGUGGCGAACGGGUGAGUAAUGCAUCGGAACGUACCGUGUAAUGGGGGAUAACGUAGCGAAAGUUACGCUAAUACCGCAUACGACCUGAGGGUGAAAGCAGGGGAUCGCAAGACCUUGCGUUAUACGAGCGGCCGAUGUCAGAUUAGCUAGUUGGUGAGGUAAAGGCUCACCAAGGCGACGAUCUGUAGCGGGUCUGAGAGGAUGAUCCUCCACACUGGGACUGAGACACGGCCCAGACUCAUACGGGAGGCGGCAGUGGGGAAUUUUGGAGAAUGGGGGAAAACCUGAUCCAGCCAUGCCGCGUGAGUGAAGAAGGCCUUCGGGUUGUAAAGCUCUUUCGGCCGGGAAGAAAUCGCACAGGCUAAUACUCUGUGUGGAUGACGGUACCGGCAUAAGAAGCACCGGCUAACUACGUGCCAGCCGCCGCGGUAA
RNAcentral lists this ribosomal RNA (504 nucleotides) under uncultured bacterium. Its description in RNAcentral is "partial 16S ribosomal RNA". It matches the Rfam family "Bacterial small subunit ribosomal RNA", at positions 30 to 523 of the family's 1533-position model. The record is from RNAcentral.